UUAGUUUACUAUUGGAGCGGUUAGUGGCGGACUGGUGAGUAACACGUAAGCAACCUGCCUAUCAGAGGGGAACAACAGUUAGAAAUGACUGCUAAUACCGCAUAUGCCUUAGAAUCACAUGGUUCAAAAGGGAAAGGAGCAAUCCGCUGAUAGAUGGGCUUGCGUCUGAUUAGCUAGUUGGUGGGGUAACGGCCUACCAAGUCGACGAUCAGUAGCCGGACUGAGAGGUUGAACGGCCACAUUGGGACUGAGAUACGGCCCAGACUCC
Molecule: ribosomal RNA, 268 nt
Filed under: uncultured Oscillospiraceae bacterium
Lineage: Bacteria; Bacillati; Bacillota; Clostridia; Eubacteriales; Oscillospiraceae
Description: partial 16S ribosomal RNA
Rfam family: Bacterial small subunit ribosomal RNA
Source: RNAcentral